This is a long non-coding RNA of Cyprinus carpio (common carp), 713 nucleotides long. RefSeq lists it as uncharacterized. The transcript has 4 exons. The record is from RefSeq and is a predicted model, not a curated record. Lineage: Eukaryota; Metazoa; Chordata; Actinopteri; Cypriniformes; Cyprinidae.
AGAGAGUUGGCUGCUUAUAAAGCAGUAACCGGCAUAUUAAUUUUCUUGAUCUUGGGUGUCAUUCUGCUUCAGUUCAGUCGGCCCAUGUACAAAGCCAUCCGCAAAAGAUUUUCACAAAAACGGCAGAGUCGCUGGAUCGGCCCGACUGAGAGUGUGUGCUAUCACAGAGGUCAAGGUCCCGCAAACAAAAACACAGAGAAGAGACAGUCCUUUCCUGGUUUGGAGAGGCUGACGGUAAACCAGAGCAGAGAGCCCUCAUCCAACAGAAACAGUGACUAUGACUCAUACGGCAACAGCUGAAGGCCUGUGCUCACAAAAGACUUACUGACCCUAAGCAGAACUCUCUCGUCAUCAACAAUCAGCAGAUUUUAAAUUACACUGCUUCGGUUGUUUGGCAAGUCAAGAAAGGUGUAUAUAUAUAUUUGAAAAGUGCUGCCGCUGAGAAAUCCAUUUAGGAUAAAAUGUAAAAAAAGUAAAUUGUGAUGAUUUAGUCUCAGCAUAACAACAAUUAGCAGGCUUCAUUUUAUUUUAUUUUUUUAUGUUUUGUAAUGACUUGAUUUUGCUAUAUUUGUAUUUUGGUAUUGUUUUUAAAUAGUCAGAAACAAAAUAGGAUUUUGCCUAUGUUCUGAAUGAUAUAGGCUUUUUAAAAAAAAAAUUAUUUAUGCAAGUGAUUGAUUUUUGAGUUGAAGUAUGAAUAAUUUUAAAUAAACUAC